CAACCCAGAGCCCGUAAGAGAGAGAGACCGACCCUGAUAACGAGGGACAUAGUUUCUAAAGAUGAUGAGGAUUUGCGUUACGCCCGUUCUAGUUUAGAAGAAGCGGUGUUCAAAUUCCCAGGCGGCAUUCCCGGCGAUGGAGUGGUCGAUCGAUCCCCGCUCUCAUUCCCCCAACACAGAAGCCGAGACUGAUUGGGCUUAAACUUCCGCAUCGGCACCAGCACCAGCGCCUCCAGCAUCAUCCGAGCUUGCAGUUGACAUAGUCGUGUUCCUGAUUGAGCGCAGUCAACCGUGAGGAUGAAUGCUACGUGGAGGAACUCGAGCUGCGGGGCUAUCUGGACAUAAGCCUCGAGCUCGAGUGUCGUUUCUGCACAUUUGUGGCUGCGUAGGUGUUGCAGAGAGCAGGGAUCCUCCCGGGUUCGCAGUCUCAUUAAUAGAGCUUUUUCUUUUUGUCUUUUCUUACCGGGUGUGAGUUUCAGCUCGGUGCGGCGGAGGGUAAUGGUAGGAGCAGCUCGUCGACUUUUUGGUUUCGAUCACACAAUUGCGGGUGUACCUUUCAUGUUGUGUGAGUGUUCGGUUGAGAUGGAGUGACAACAGUGUAGAUCAGGUCAGUGCUGUUGUCCAGCAUUUGGAUCUUGUUGUGUGCUCGGGCAGCAUGGUCAUUUUUUCGAUUUCACCGUGGUGCUGGGUGAAGGAUUUCGAUUCCUGAGCCAGUAGUGGUGUCCGAUCGUACGAAGCUUUUGCGGUGAACAUGGUACAAUCGGUUGACGAACUAUUCUCAAAUUCAGCGAUGGAACUGCGUGAUGUGGAGUCGUGGAAUCUGGCGAUUGGCGAAUUGGACAAGGGUGUUGUCACACUGCAAGUAGGGGGAGAGAUGAAAACAUGUAGUGCGCCUAAACCGCUGGACCACGACGGAACUGACAUCUCCCUCAAAGAUUGGGAGCUGGGUUCUCGAAAUUCUGUAGAGAUGGAGCCUACGGUGGGGUAUUCUCUGAAAUCCUUGAAGGGGACUAGCGUACGCACGAAAUUCACUCCGGUUGAGCCUAGCGUCGAUGAGGAACAUAGUCCCCGCCAUUUCUCCUCGCUUGACAGGGUCGACACUGCCCCGACGACGCCGAGAACACCCAGGGGGAGUGGAACACGCAGCGGGUCUGUCUCGCCGACGAGAUUAGAGCGGAAAUCAGUUCAGCAAUUAGUGGUCGAUAGGGGUAGUGCCAGCCACCAUCUGGACAAUGUGUACGAUUUUAGUGCGGAUGCUUCGUCUAGGACCCUGAGAACUGGGUCUAUUAAGGGGAACUUAAACAGUUCAAGCUUAAAUCACAUUAGCAACCUGCGUACAAGGUCAGAACGAGGGAUGGCACUGCACGUCUCAUUUGAAGGUGAGUCGGACGUUGAUAAGGGUUUGGGCACGUCGGGGCGUCGCUAUAGGUCUCCGUCGAAAUGCAGAAUGACUCGGCCCCCCUGGAAUGACGAAAUAGUAGAGCAUCCUAACUGGGAGAGUCCCAAAAAGAUUCGUCCUCAGUCGACGUCAAUGCCGAAAACGCACAACGUUCACCCUACUUUACAUGGUACAAGUUCCAGAAGCACAGUCCAUAAUAAUAGUGCUCUUAGAGUAAGAAGCUCUUCUUUGCUGAUACCAGAGAUUGCAACCGAGAAUCAGAGCAAUGGCAUGCCUGCACGCAGAAGCAGGGCCUCAGAAGUUAGAACGUCUUUAAGCUUACAAACCAUCGGAGAGAGAAGUAGGUUCCACGACGCAUCGUCCAGUUUCACGUCAAGCUCUUCAGUAUCAGGUUCGUUUCAAUACAGAAGUGAGAGCACAGAGCCAACUUCGAAACCUGAUUCGCCCUCUUUUCUUCUCCGAUGUAAUGCCAAGCGAGAAUACAAUGAUGUUAAGGACGAAGAGAGUGGGGAUGAGGAUGUGAAAGUGGGAAUGGUGUGCGGUGGAGGUCUCGUUGACACCGAUAUAUCCGACGACCCUGUUCGACUUCUCGGCAAGAUGUGUGGAGUGCCACUGCUAUUGUCGAAACAGCCAGUCACAAAAUCAUCCUCGCAACAAAUGGGACGCAAACUUAACAGAUCCAACACAACUGCAGGUUCAUGGGAGACCCCGGACGCGGAGAUGCGUGAGAAUUUUGCAAACCUUGGGCGUCACGCCAGCCUGAAACUGCUCUCAGAGCGCUGCUUUUAUGGGCCAUACCCUCCAUACAACGUGCACAAGGUGCCUCGCAAGAUUCGAGACCACGAACCUCACCAACACUUCUACAAGCCCAUCUCCAAAUCACUCGACCAGCUGCUCAGGAGUUGAGAAGAAAACGUCGUAUGAAUCUGGCUGAGUGGACAUGGGUCAUCAACACGAGACUCUUUAACGACGUGGAUGUCCAUGAACGAAACGGCUGGAACAGGUCCAACGACCUGCACGUCACAUUCACCGGCACUACGACGACUACUAAAAAUCUCAUGCUCAUCUUCAUAGAGGAUAGCCUCCGCACCUUGUACAUAUUCCUGAACCACGUUUUCGACUUUUCCUCCCUGAAAAUACUGUAACACUGCCUGAAGAGCGAACCACGAUUUGAUGGAUCAGAGCUUAACAACACGCGAUCCUGGUCUGUGUAGAACACCAUCCCAGACAGAGCCGUUUCGGUAGAGGAGUGUGAAGACCUCUUGCGGAACACUUUAAACAUCGGAUUGGCGUACCGGAUGCCCAUUUCAUAAAUCUCACUAGGUACUGUUUCAUGACCUUAAAUCGAGAUAUUCUACGUAUUAUUGUGCACUGCAAUGACCCGGCACGCAACAUUUUUCCUACGUAUCAAAGCAGAUUCUUCAAGCAGCGGAUUUUAUAGCCAGAGUCUGCAGUUUAGACAUGAUGUUUUGCGUCAUCGAGAUGAGAUCGUUGCAGUUGGGUUUAGUCGGUGAUUCCCUGAAACAUGUGUACGAUGAUUGAAUAGUGGCUGUUGGAUGUGUUGAAUCGGUGAGCAGAUAGUCUAUUAUCGAGCAGCAGGAUUUUGAACAGUGAUCCAUGAAUGAUCCUUCCAUAGAAAAACAUUCUGGUAUCUGAAAAAUACAGUUUUUGUGUUGAGAAGGGCCAUAAUGGAAUGCCAGCAAUGAAUGGAAAAAAAAAAUGUUAAUAAGUUUUAAAAUAGAAAUAGAAUUCUUUUUGACGUGAAUUAUGGGUCAAUGGACACGUUUAAUUGCAUUAAAUCCACCACACUGAACGAUGCUAAUUUCAAGCUUAAUCACUGUUUAAUGAGGAGCUGUUCCUCUUCGGCAUUUCUCGA
Physcomitrium patens is the source of this 3275-nucleotide non-coding RNA. NCBI's taxonomy places the organism in Eukaryota, Viridiplantae, Streptophyta, Bryopsida, Funariales, Funariaceae. The record is from RefSeq and is a predicted model, not a curated record.